Molecule: ribosomal RNA, 253 nt
Filed under: uncultured bacterium
Lineage: Bacteria
Description: partial 16S ribosomal RNA
Rfam family: Bacterial small subunit ribosomal RNA
Source: RNAcentral
UACGGAGGGUGCAAGCAUUAAUCGGAUUUAUUGGGCGUAAAGGGCGCGUAGGCGGCGUGAAAAGUCAGAUGUGAAAUCCUGGGGCUCAACCUCAGAACAGCAUUUGAAACUCUCACACUAGAGGGUAGGCGGAGAAAACGGAAUUCCACAAGUAGCGGUGAAAUGCGUAGAUAUGUGGAAGAACACCGGUGGCGAAGGCGGUUUUCUAGCUUAUUCCUGACGCUGAGGCGCGAAAGCAAGGGGAUCAAACAGG